RNAcentral lists this ribosomal RNA (526 nucleotides) under Monoplex comptus. RNAcentral's name for it is "partial 12S ribosomal RNA". The record is from RNAcentral. Lineage: Eukaryota; Metazoa; Mollusca; Gastropoda; Littorinimorpha; Ranellidae.
AGAGGUUUUGUUAUAUACUUUAUGGUAAAAAGGCAGUUAAAUAUUUAAUUUUUAAUAAUUUAUUGACUAUCUAUAUAAGGGUAAAAUCUAUAUAUAAAUAAAUAAUCUAACAUAAAUUAAUCUAUGUUGACUCUGCGAAACCCUUGAGGGAAACUGGGAUUAGAUACCCCAUUAUUCUUGGAUGUAAAUUAACGUAAGUUUACCGGAGUACUAUGAAUUUUUAAACAAAUUUAAAACUCAAAGGGCUUGGCGGUGUUUUAGACCUCUCAGGGGAACCUGUCUCAUAAUCGACAAUCCACGUUAUACCUAACCUUUUUUUGCUAUUACAGUUUGUAUACCGUCGUCGCCAGGUAACUUUUAAAAAAUUAGAAGUUAGCAACAAAAUAAUUUUAAAUUUAAACGUCAGAUCAAGGUGCAGCUUAUAUAAAGGUGAGGAUGGGUUACAAUUAAAAUUUAUAAAUACGGAAUGAUAAUUGAAAUAUUUAUCUUAUGAAGGAGGACUUGAAAGUAAAAUAAAUUUAUAUAA